This 1122-nucleotide ribosomal RNA is filed under the name Staphylococcus aureus. RNAcentral's name for it is "partial 23S ribosomal RNA". It matches the Rfam family "Bacterial large subunit ribosomal RNA", at positions 252 to 1378 of the family's 2925-position model. The record is from RNAcentral. Lineage: Bacteria; Bacillati; Bacillota; Bacilli; Caryophanales; Staphylococcaceae.
AGCGAAACGGGAAGAGCCCAAACCAACAAGCUUGCUUGUUGGGGUUGUAGGACACUCUAUACGGAGUUACAAAGGACGACAUUAGACGAAUCAUCUGGAAAGAUGAAUCAAAGAAGGUAAUAAUCCUGUAGUCGAAAAUGUUGUCUCUCUUGAGUGGAUCCUGAGUACGACGGAGCACGUGAAAUUCCGUCGGAAUCUGGGAGGACCAUCUCCUAAGGCUAAAUACUCUCUAGUGACCGAUAGUGAACCAGUACCGUGAGGGAAAGGUGAAAAGCACCCCGGAAGGGGAGUGAAAUAGAACCUGAAACCGUGUGCUUACAAGUAGUCAGAGCCCGUUAAUGGGUGAUGGCGUGCCUUUUGUAGAAUGAACCGGCGAGUUACGAUUUGAUGCAAGGUUAAGCAGUAAAUGUGGAGCCGUAGCGAAAGCGAGUCUGAAUAGGGCGUUUAGUAUUUGGUCGUAGACCCGAAACCAGGUGAUCUACCCUUGGUCAGGUUGAAGUUCAGGUAACACUGAAUGGAGGACCGAACCGACUUACGUUGAAAAGUGAGCGGAUGAACUGAGGGUAGCGGAGAAAUUCCAAUCGAACCUGGAGAUAGCUGGUUCUCUCCGAAAUAGCUUUAGGGCUAGCCUCAAGUGAUGAUUAUUGGAGGUAGAGCACUGUUUGGACGAGGGGCCCCUCUCGGGUUACCGAAUUCAGACAAACUCCGAAUGCCAAUUAAUUUAACUUGGGAGUCAGAACAUGGGUGAUAAGGUCCGUGUUCGAAAGGGAAACAGCCCAGACCACCAGCUAAGGUCCCAAAAUAUAUGUUAAGUGGAAAAGGAUGUGGCGUUGCCCAGACAACUAGGAUGUUGGCUUAGAAGCAGCCAUCAUUUAAAGAGUGCGUAAUAGCUCACUAGUCGAGUGACACUGCGCCGAAAAUGUACCGGGGCUAAACAUAUUACCGAAGCUGUGGAUUGUCCUUUGGACAAUGGUAGGAGAGCGUUCUAAGGGCGUUGAAGCAUGAUCGUAAGGACAUGUGGAGCGCUUAGAAGUGAGAAUGCCGGUGUGAGUAGCGAAAGACGGGUGAGAAUCCCGUCCACCGAUUGACUAAGGUUUCCAGAGGAAGGCUCGUCCGCUCUGG